AUUGGGGCCUGCUCUUACUGCUGAUGUGCACCCAACGCAUGUCAAGUUCUUAUCAAGUACAUCAUCAGUGACCUGCAAAAUGACAAGAAAGCUGUCCUCAGUUACCUGUCUUAUACCAAACC
RNAcentral lists this long non-coding RNA (122 nucleotides) under Dromaius novaehollandiae (emu). Its description in RNAcentral is "lncRNA (ENSDNVG00000007688.1)". Lineage: Eukaryota; Metazoa; Chordata; Aves; Casuariiformes; Dromaiidae. The record is from RNAcentral.